UAGAUGUGCAGUGUUGUCUUUCGUCGACUACUGACAGGACUUGUUUGAGACACUCCUGCAUAUGAGAGAUUCCAAAUACUAAAGUUUUGGAUAAAAAAAGAGGAAAUAUGUCUGUCAGUCGGAAGAAUUGGUCUGCACUGUCUAGUCUGGCUCGGCAGUGGACUAUGGAGGACGAGGAGGAGCUGGAACGGGAGCGCCGGAGGAAGACGCGAGAUCCCAGCGUCAGUGCAGACCCUGAUGAAGAGGAGGGCCUUGCUAGUGAGAAGAGCCAAGGCUCCAGGAGAAUGGAUGUCUCAGAGCUUCUUGGUACCAGGAAGCAGGGCCACUUCAACACAAGCAAACAUGCGAGCAGUGCCCAGCCGGAGCCUUCUGACCAAGGAGACAAGGAUGAAAGUGCCAUGCAGGAGGACUUUGUGGAGAUGCUACGCCUGCGCGACGAACGGCGGAGGGCCCGGCACGUGGAGACGCUGCGGCGGCAGAAGCAGGAGGAGGAAGAGGGGCCAGAGGAGGGCGGUCCAGAGGCCCAGCCCAGGGUCGAGCUGCUGGGGGACGUGGACCUGACGGAGGCCCUGAUCAACCCCCUCCGCAUCCUGCUGGACCGGGACAGACCUACCAGCCCCACAAGCCCCAAAAGCCCCGCUAGUCCUGCCAGCACCAGCAGCUCCCACAGCAGGAGCCAAUCCAGCCACUCCACUGGGGAGGCUCAGAAUGAAAACAGAAAUGCAAAUUCAGACCAGUCAACUCCAACGAAGACGUCCAGGAAGUUUGUCAGCUCCUUCUCCAUCUCCUUUGACAAAAGCCCGGCGGCGUCACCGCCACAGAGGCUCGUUUCUCCCCUCAGCCCCAGAAGUGCACCCCAGAGGCCAUUCAGCCCCACUUUUGGGGGCGCCCAAAGCCCCACGCAAAAUGGGGAUGCCGAGAAUAGCACAGCUGCCAGCAUUGAGACCACAACCAAACCUGCCUUUACAAGACAAAGUUCUAGAACCACCUCCUUCAGGUUGCUGAAGAAGCAAGAGGAGCAAAGCAUGCCAUUGCAACGGAGCGCAAGUGUUCGGGUCACAAGCAAAAUUGAGUCCAACAAGAGUCCGAAUCAAGAUGAGCAACAACAGUCACCGUUUCAGAGAAACUCUAAACAGAGAAUAUCAGCUCGUUCAAUCCAAGAAAAAAUGGAGAGACUUGCCCAGGCUUCACAGAAACAAACAAGUAAAUCCCCCUAUCAGCCAGAGAGGACUCUGUUUCUUAUGGAUGAAGUCUUAAGAAAGAAGAAUCUGUUUGAGAGUGAACAGCCAAAGGGACAGAAAGAGCCUGGAAUGGGCAGACAGGAUUUUCGCAACUUUUCAUCUGGAAUUUCUGACCGGAUUAAUCGCUGGCUGCAGAAACAACCAAAGCCUAGCCCUACUUCCACCACAUCUGACCUGAGGAAUGUGGACAUCUUAAGCAAGAAGAUUCUCUUUGAGCGGGGCAAGGACGAAAGGCCAUUGUCUCCUGAACCGCACAGCAAGAGCUCAAAUUAAGAGAAAAUGCCACCACCUAGACACUUUGCAAAGGAAUGUCCUCGAAAGUGUGUAUUGUUACUAGGACUCCAGGAUUCACAGGAACACAGUCUGACCACUACAGAGGACCAGCACUACUGAUUGUACAUUUUAGUGAGGAGUUUUGACCAUGUCCACUUCUACUCCAAAAUAAUACUUUUAAAUGGCUUGUACACCAUUACUGCAUGAUGUGGUACACACUUACAUACAUGAUGGGGUUGAUGAGGUACAUACAUGCAUACAUUCAUAUAUUUCCUUUGUUUUAAGAUACACUUUUGUCAGAGACUGAAAAAAAAUACAAAGCACACUAAAAUAUCCAUUGCAUUCUGAGAUUUAUCCUAAAUAUCAUACUCUGACUCUGUUGGUUAAAUACAGAUAAUGGCUCUGUUAAUGUAAUCUUUUCAAAGAAAACUGCCCCCAGUCUUUAAUGCACUUUCUGUGUAUGCAUUCUUCUUCAGCAGAAGUGUUUGUACUUUAGCAAACUAGCAAACACUUUUUUUGGAAAACAAAAUAAUGUACAUUCAUUUCAGUAGUGUAAUGAAUGCAAGGCUUUCUUUAAAAUGUACAGUUUGCCAUUUUCUUACAAGAACAGGAAGAAUGAUGAUUUUGCUGAUUCAUUAAUUAUCAAUAAGAUAUUUUAAAUUAAUGGCAGUCUAACAUAUGUCUAACCUGCACUCUUAAUGCUCAUAAAUUACAUACAUUACAUACAUUACAAGCUAUCUCUCUGACUUCUCAUCAUUUAAUUACAACAACUACAGUGCAGUAUGUGUGAUAGGAAGCAUCAGAUCACACUGAGGCCUGUUGAUUAACACAAAUGACAACUCUCAGAUAUUGUUUAUGAGUGUGCCAAUGCUAUAUGUUUACUUUCUUACUUUCUAUAUGGAGGUGUUUAGUAAAUAAUAAUAAACUAUAUUUUCGAAAAUUUAAA
RNA transcript from Alosa alosa (allis shad), 2460 nucleotides. It is a transcript of the gene named ladinin, with no coding region annotated. Lineage: Eukaryota; Metazoa; Chordata; Actinopteri; Clupeiformes; Clupeidae. The transcript has 16 exons. The record is from RefSeq and is a predicted model, not a curated record.